This 198-nucleotide ribosomal RNA is filed under the name Escherichia coli. RNAcentral describes it as "partial 16S ribosomal RNA". It matches the Rfam family "Bacterial small subunit ribosomal RNA", at positions 1 to 206 of the family's 1533-position model. The record is from RNAcentral. Lineage: Bacteria; Pseudomonadati; Pseudomonadota; Gammaproteobacteria; Enterobacterales; Enterobacteriaceae.
AAAUUGAAGAGUUUGAUCAUGGCUCAGAUUGAACGCUGGCGGCAGGCCUAACACAUGCAAGUCGAACGGUAACAGAAAGCAGCUUGCUGCUUUGCUGACGAGUGGCGGACGGGUGAGUAAUGUCUGGGAAACUGCCUGAUGGAGGGGGAUAACUACUGGAAACGGUAGCUAAUACCGCAUAACGUCGCAAGACCAAAG